CGUAGCUGCUUCCGGUGGCGCGCCUGGCCGGCUCCGGGCUCGAGCGUCCCCAGGCGCGUUCCGCUCCUCUGCCCGCGCGGGUUACGCCUCUCUGUGUCCAGCAACAGAGCAGAGGCCCGGCCCCGCCGCGGACAAAAGAGCGAGCCCGGAUAACAAAAUGUGUUGCGAGAAGUGGAGCCACGUGGCCGAAAUGCUGCUCUUCAUUGAAGACCGCGAGGAGGAGUACAAGAUCCUUUGCCUCUGCUCCCGAGCAUUUGUAGAGUAAGUCUUGGCGGUCCUCUCACUUUUUAUCCUUGCCUAGGAAUGUGGGUGUCGCUGAGCUCGAGUGAGGCUUACCUAAAAACCAGAUGACCUGCUUCUAGGGCAGACCGAUGUCUAAGAAAUUGGAAACUUCUCGGGCAUGAAGGAAUAUUCUACUUCGAUUACUAAAGGGAAAUUAUUAAAAUUUUGAUUUUUAAAAUGUGGUACCCUAGAUAUGUUAUUUCGUAUUUACACAAGUGAAGGGCCAAUCUCAGGGUUGAGUGAGUCGUGCGCCUCAGUGAUAGAUGCAGAAGAAUCGCAAGUUCGAUGCUGGAGGCGUGAAGUGUAAGCUAAUGAAAAUAACACGGUGAGGUGAAGGAUCUAAAUAAAGCUCUGUUUUCAAAUAGUAAAAACCUUUCCAACUAAAAUUUUCAACUAAAAAACAACUUCUAAGUAUUUGAGACAAAAGGCUUAACUGUUUACAGCAGGUUUAGAGACAUCGCUGAGGAAAAUGUUUGUUUCAUGAUUAAAAUUGCCUGGCUGGAAAGAACCUUCUGGUAGAAAAAGCACCGACAAAUUUUAAAUUUAAGCUUGAAAUUAUUCUUUUUCAUUAUGAACUUGAGGGAAGAUAUCCGAAAGUUCCUCAAAAGCGAAUUAAAACACCAUGUUAAAUUUAAUACUAAAAAGGCACUGUCCUCAUUUGCACCGGUCAAAGUUGAGCAGUUCUGAGGGAGGGCAGGGGAGAGUAAGGAUGGUAAUAAGAUAGAAAGGAAGACUCAGAGACAAGCAUUAGAAUUGGGAGGGCUGCAGGUCUGUACCACACCGGCCCCAAAUGUAUUUCUCAUAGCCUUAAUAUACUUUACAGUAUCAUGGGAAACAAGUCACAAACUAGCAGAGACAAUGGCUGACAUAGAUUGGAUAUCUGUUCCCAUCCAGAGGCUUCCCUGUUCCUUCCACCAAGAUUAAUAGAAUGUCCAGCCCCUUACCUUGAACUUAAGUUGUAGAUCCUAGUUCCCUACGUCAGCAGGCCAGGAAAUCUGCUAUCCAACAGGUCCUGACCUCCCUUGACUUUGCCUGACAGGCAGACUAUCACAGAAGCAGGCAAAAAUGGCUGCCAACGCUCAUUAUAUAUAGUCAAGCGUCCAUUUAAUUUGAACUUUUGUGCUCCUAUUAGAUGUGCUGGCAGGUAAUGGAAUAAAAGAAAGAACCAGACUGCACUGAAUUUACCUUCUAAGCAAAGAUCCGUAUUGCACUAAGAUAGCUGUUUGUAAAAUUAUUCAGUUAACUCUGGAUAUGAGAUGGGUCUGUGGAGCUUUGAUAGCAGUCUGUAGCAGGAUAGACAGUGAAAUUAUGAGGCCUUGGAAGGGGAAAGUCUUCUUGAAGUCUCUUUUUGGCUGAGAGUUGAGAACACCAGUAUCCUUAACAGAUUUUGAUGUGAAGGUUGACUGAGUGAAAAAAAUAUGUAGAAAUGGUUUGAAUAAGUAUUAAACUAGCCUGUGUGAUGGCCCACAGCUUUAAUCCCAGCACUCGGAGAAGAAAAAACAGUCAGGCUGAUCUCUGAGUUCAAGACCAGCCUGGUCUUCAAAUCCAGUCUAGGACAGUCAGGACUCUGUUACAAAGAGAAAGCCUAUCUCAA
This 1876-nucleotide long non-coding RNA is filed under the name Rattus norvegicus (Norway rat). RNAcentral describes it as "long non-coding RNA NONRATT022065". Lineage: Eukaryota; Metazoa; Chordata; Mammalia; Rodentia; Muridae. The record is from RNAcentral.